GGAUGAACGUUGGCGGCGUGCCUAAUACAUGCAAGUCGAACGAAGACUGUAGUAAUACUGUCUUAGUGGCGAACGGGUGAGUAACGCGUGGGUGACCUGCCCCGAAGUGUGGGAUAACAGUCCGAAAGGAUUGCUAAUACUGCAUAAUAUCCAAGAGAUUAGAUGCUUUUGGAUUAAAGGUGAAAAUCACUUCGGGAGGGGCCUGCGUCCCAUCAGCUAGUUGGUAAGGUAAUGGCUUACCAAGGCGAUGACGGGUAGGGGACCUGAGAGGGUGGCCCCCCACAAUGGAACUGAAACACGGUCCAUACACCUACGGGUGGCAGCAGUAGGGAAUAUUGCAAAUGGGCGAAAGCCUGAUGUAGCAACGCCGCGUGUGCGAUGAAGGUCUUCGGAUUGUAAAGCACUUUUUGGAGGGAUGAGGAAGGACAGUACCUCCAGAAUAAGCCUCGGCUAACUACGUGCCAGCAGCCGCGGUAACACGUAGGAGGCAAGCGUUAUUCGGAUUUACUGGGCGUAAAGCGCGUGCAGGCGGUUUGGAAAGUUGGAUGUGAAAGCUCCUGGCUCAACUGGGAGAGGUCGUUCAAAACUUCCAGACUUGAGAGUGGUAGAGGGAGGUGGAAUUCCGGGUGUAGUGGUGAAAUGCGUAGAUAUCCGGAGGAACACCAGUGGCGAAAGCGGCCUCCUGGACCACUUCUGACGCUCAGACGCGAAAGCUAGGGUAGCAAACGGGAUUAGAGACCCCGGUAGUCCUAGCUGUAAACGAUGUGAACUUGGCGUUGGUGGGUUUAAAUCCAUCAGUGCCGAAGCUAACGCGAUAAGUUCACCGCCUGGGGACUACGGCCGCAAGGUUAAAACUCAAAGGAAUUGACGGGGCCCCGCACAAGCAGCGGAGCGUGUGGUUUAAUUCGAUGCUACACGAAGAACCUUACCAGGGUUUGACAUGCAAGUGGUAGAGAAGCGAAAGCGGAUCGACCCCUCGG
Molecule: ribosomal RNA, 980 nt
Filed under: uncultured bacterium
Lineage: Bacteria
Description: bacterial SSU rRNA
Rfam family: Bacterial small subunit ribosomal RNA
Source: RNAcentral